This 467-nucleotide ribosomal RNA is filed under the name uncultured bacterium. Its description in RNAcentral is "partial 16S ribosomal RNA". It matches the Rfam family "Bacterial small subunit ribosomal RNA", at positions 28 to 506 of the family's 1533-position model. The record is from RNAcentral.
GACGAACGCUGGCGGCGUGCUUAACACAUGCAAGUCGAACGGAAAGGCCCUGCUUUUGUGGGGUGCUCGAGUGGCGAACGGGUGAGUAACACGUGAGUAACCUGCCCUUGACUUUGGGAUAACUUCAGGAAACUGGGGCUAAUACCGGAUAGGAGCUCCUGCUGCAUGGUGGGGGUUGGAAAGUUUCGGCGGUUGGGGAUGGACUCGCGGCUUAUCAGCUUGUUGGUGGGGUAGUGGCUUACCAAGGCUUUGACGGGUAGCCGGCCUGAGAGGGUGACCGGCCACAGUGGGACUGAGAUACGGCCCAGACUCCUACGGGAGGCAGCAGUGGGGAAUAUUGCACAAUGGGCGGAAGCCGGAUGCAGCAACGCCGCGUGCGGGAUGACGGCCUUCGGGUUGUAAACCGCUUUCGCCUGUGACGAAGCGUGAGUGACGGUAAUGGGGAAAGAAGCACCGGCUAACUACGU